Long non-coding RNA from Crotalus tigris (Tiger rattlesnake), 3506 nucleotides. RefSeq lists it as uncharacterized. NCBI's taxonomy places the organism in Eukaryota, Metazoa, Chordata, Lepidosauria, Squamata, Viperidae. The record is from RefSeq and is a predicted model, not a curated record. The transcript has 2 exons.
UCCAGCAGCCGUUCCUGAUAUGCUUUAGCCUCCAAGUCCCUAAUCAUCUUUGUUGCUCUUCUCUAGAGUCUCAACAUCUUUUUUACAUCAUGGUGCUCACCCCAUGUAAGGGAGUGAUAUAUUUUCAAUCUCUUAGGGGAAUUGAGAACCCCCCAAAGAAAUUGGUCAGAAAGUCAAGCGCACAUGGCAACAACCGCCUUUGAGGACACCCAGAAGAAGAAGACGUAUCUUGAAGCCCAGCAAAGAAGAAUCCUUUGAGGAUUUCACUUUUUCAAUCUAAAAAAGCUUUCAAAGACAUCAGAAAUCGCAUAGCCAGUGGAGAAGGAAGUAUGUGAGCACAUAUUUCCUGGAUGGUCUACUUUUAGUUCCAAGAGUGGCUGAAGUAUUUCCUGUAGCCUCAAACCCUGCAGCAAAUAUUUCCUCUGCAGGUGUAUUGAGCAGGGUCACCAAGGCAGACUAAACCUCUGGUUAUUAAUCUCCCUAGUUAUUAAGAUCAGUAGAGGGGCCUCUUGAAGAUGCCACCUCUUUCGGAGACUCAUCUUUUUGGCACACAGUAAUAGCAUUUUAAUUUAUUAGAUGAUUUUGCUAUUUAUUUCAUUGUUUUCUGAAUCAGUUUGUUAAAUUUCUGUAUUCUGUUUUUGUUUUAACAUUUGUUAGCUGCCUUGAGUGCUUUCCACAGGAGAAAGACAAGGUAUAAAUCAAAUAAUAAAUAAUCAGUCGAAGUUGCUAUUAACUUUCAUCAUUUUUGGUGAAAACUCUUUUGAAAAUCAUUAGAUGAUAACUUGGCUGAAAACAAGGGCAACAAGGAAACCUUUCCAGCUGUUUCUACAAGAAGAGUAGAUAGCAACUUGCUUAGCCUAAGGUCACUUCCCUUCAUUUCCUAUCCAAAACCAAAGUUACACAAGGAUCUAGAAUUCAUUGGCAUGAGUCAGAUUAUCAGCUGAAGCAGCAGGAAUCUAAGGGUCAUUCUUUAUAAAUGGACACCACAUAUCAAGAUCACCAAUGGUCUGGUGGUGGGCAGACUUGGCUUAUUUGCCUAGUGCUACUGUUCUAAUAUUCAGGCACCUAGUGUUUUGUACAGUGACAUAGCUAAUGAAGUUUUUCCCUGAAAUGCCAGAAAGCACCUACUGAUGCUUCAAGCCAUCAACCAUCUAUUUGCUAUCAAAGUCAUAGAAUCAUUCCCACUGGCAGUAAGUUCCAUGUGGCAACCUGGAGUUCCAUUCUUUUGGCUAGCUUUCUUUUAUUUCCAAGAAUCAUGUUUGUAUGUUCAUUUACCCAUCUUCUGGAAGUUUUCGAGAUUUGAACUGGGCCAUUAUUCUCAAAAUACUGCUCUCCCAUUUGGUAUGGCAACAUAAAGAUCCUUGUAGCAUGUGUAGUGUCUCUCUUAGGACAAAAUUCAAAUCUACUGCUAUUUAGAUUGGCUUCUCCUCUGUUCUCAUUCUUUAACAGAGUGAGCAAGAUAGUCUGUUGCUUAUCAUACCUUGACUUCUGCAUCAACUGGGAGAAGAGGCAGAUGCCCCUGCUUAAUGCCUGCAGCUUCUGGAAACAAAGCUGAAGUAUUCUGGCAGGCUUGGCCCUCCUCCCUUACAAGAAUUAAUCAGUGCUAAACUAUAAACUACUUGGCUAUUAUAUGGUAAAUAUGCAAACAUACCUGAGGAGAGAUAUUGGAGUUGUAGUUCAGAAUAUCUGGAGUGCCCACCCAUGUUAAAGGAUCUGUGAUGAUUUGAUUUUAAAAGAUUGUUGACUGAAAAUAGCUGAAGCUGAAAUGGACCAAAGAUCUAGGUGCUUAUUAUUGAUUGCUUCUUAUGCAGAACAUGUAGGCGUUUCAAUCACUAUGGAAUGCAUGGGUUCCCUCCUGAAAGAUCUCAGUGUCAGGUUGGGGAUAGGUCAUCCUAGAAAAAAUCUGUCUACAUGUUUGCUAAAGAGUUAAUACUGACUUGAUGGCAUGCAAUUGGUUAUUGUUGAUUUUGUAUAAAUAGUAUAGGAUACUUGGUACACAUCAAAUAUGUUGUAAAAUCUUCUGAGUUUCUUUCAUCAAGAAAAAUAUAAUAUUAAAUAAUGUUGUAUGUUACGAUAGAAUUCUACUUACUAGGGAACACUUCAAUUUAUGAAACAAAUUGCUACUAUUUGGAAUAAUUCUCAUUAUUUGUUUGAUCAAAAUUGUAAAAGACUACAACUAGUAAAAAGGGAAAGAGAAAUAUGGUCUUUAUUAACUAGUAGUGGUGCUACUAAAGGCAACCCUCCCCUACACUGAAUCUGGAAUAUAUUACUGUAUAUGAAAGGUUUUCCCUACACUUGAAAACUUGCUGUUGUUUCCCUCAUACUCUAAUUUUUGUUUCUUAUUUAUUUAAUAACUGAAGUUCUCUGGUGUCUUGCGGAUAAUUAUGGAAAACAGAGGUUUCAGAAAAACAUUCUAAAGGGAGAAAAUAUUUUUAAAAUAUGUAAUUAAAAAUACAUAUUACAGGAAACAUAAAACCAUAUUCUCUCAGUAUGUAAUAGUCUGAAUACAAAAUUAUAGAAGUGCGUGGAAGAAGAAUGUAUUGUGAGGCUUCAUAUAGAGCCAUAUAACAGUCUGCGUUUUGUUUUCAGAUUUCUGCAGAAAUGAAAAUUAGGAAACAUUUUCAAAUAUUUGGAGUCAAGAGAGUCACUGAACCCACAUUAUUAAUGUAGGGUGUUUUGGGGAGCCAUUUUAGUUGGGUGGGAUUUUUUUAAAAAAUUACAUGUGUAUAUUGUAUUUUGUAUUUUUAAUUCUUUCUAGCAACUCAGAAUCACGUUUGUAAGAUGGGCAGCUGAAUAAAUACAUUUUAAGUAAUUAAAUAUCUGCUUUGAUGAAUUAGAAAGGUAUGUGGCUUGAAGAAUACCUAGAUCAGCCUUAUCGCUGGAUUGAAUGACAAUUUUUGGACACCAGUAAUUUCAGUUAAUCUAUUUUGUUGUUGUAAUUAUUAUCACUACAAUAAGAAAUGGAUUGUAUUCAAAGAAGUGCUAGAGAAGGCUCAGAGUAGAUCUCUGCUAAUUUUUAACGUCUUGAAUUUUUUUUUUUUUAAAGAUUGAUAAAAUUUAGAAUUGCAGUCGUGAAAGAUAGCAAGAUAGUGUAGGGAGCAGUGCCAAGGAAAGAUUCUCUCACAAUGGCCUUAUUAUAUUAUAGAGACAGAAGAACUAAGUCAGGUACCACAAAGUUUGCAACUCAGUUUUGCAUAUGGGCAAGAGUAUAAUUGAGGAAGACCCGAGAAAGGGCAGAUUUGCACACUGUUACUGGUGGCAUCGAUGACUCUAAUUUCUGCACUCUUAUGAUAUCCAGUUGGUAGUGGAACAUUGUGCAAGCAAACAGCCAAACUCCAAGAACAUCAAGAACUUUACUUUCAUCUCUCAACUAGCUUGGUUCUAGACAAACACCAGAAAAGAAAAAGUGAAAGAAACAGACUAUCUUUAUUUUUUAGAUUACCACAAAACUGCCCUUUUCCCUCCCUGCGCUGCCCCCUCUUCUUAACAAAUCAGUGGCAGACUCC